AAUACAGGGCAAUUGUCUUGUAAUUGGAAUGAUGGUGACGUAAAAUCUCACCAGAGUAACAAUUGGAGGGCAAGUCUGGUGCCAGCAGCCGCGGUAAUUCCAGCUCCAAUAGCGUAUAUUAAACUUGUUGCAGUUAAAAAGCUCGUAGUUGAAUUUCUGCGUUGCCCGACUCGGCUACUUGCCUUGUCUGGUUUCGCUUUUGGGGUUUUCCCCUUUUUACUUUGAGAAAAUUAGAGUGUUUCAAGCAGACUUGUGUCUUGAAUACUUCAGCAUGGAAUAAUAAAGUAGGACUUUGGUUCUAUUUUGUUGGUUUGUGAAC
This 319-nucleotide ribosomal RNA is filed under the name Babesia gibsoni. RNAcentral's name for it is "SSU rRNA". It matches the Rfam family "Eukaryotic small subunit ribosomal RNA", at positions 482 to 856 of the family's 1831-position model. Lineage: Eukaryota; Apicomplexa; Aconoidasida; Piroplasmida; Babesiidae. The record is from RNAcentral.